UCGAGAAUCUUCGGCAAUGGACGCAAGUCUGACCGAGCGACGCCGCGUGCGGGAUGAAGGCCUUCGGGUUGUAAACCGCUGUCAGUUGGGAGGAAGGCUCUGUGAAGAGCAGAGCUUGACCUAUCUUCAGAGGAAGUCCGGGCUAAGUUCGUGCCAGCAGCCGCGGUAAGACGAACCGGACGAACGUUAUUCGGAAUCAUUGGGCUUAAAGGGUGCGUAGGCGGUGCGGUAAGUUGGGUGUGAAAUCCCUCGGCUCAACCGAGGAAUUGCGCCCAAUACUGCCGUGCUCGAGGGAGACAGAGGUGAGCGGAACUGAUGGUGGAGCGGUGAAAUGCGUUGAUAUCAUCAGGAACACCAGUGGCGAAAGCGGCUCACUGGGUCUCUUCUGACGCUGAGGCACGAAAGCUAGGGUAGCGAACGGGAUUAGAUACCCCCGUAGUCC
This 442-nucleotide ribosomal RNA is filed under the name uncultured prokaryote. RNAcentral describes it as "bacterial SSU rRNA". It matches the Rfam family "Bacterial small subunit ribosomal RNA", at positions 355 to 796 of the family's 1533-position model. The record is from RNAcentral.